RNAcentral lists this ribosomal RNA (450 nucleotides) under uncultured bacterium. RNAcentral's name for it is "partial 16S ribosomal RNA". It matches the Rfam family "Bacterial small subunit ribosomal RNA", at positions 29 to 522 of the family's 1533-position model. The record is from RNAcentral.
AACGAACGCUGGCGGCAGGCUUAACACAUGCAAGUCGAACGGGUGUAGCAAUAUAUCAGUGGCAGACGGGUGAGUAACACGUGGGAACCUUCCUAGGGGUACGGAACAACUCAGGGAAACUUGAGCUAAUACCGUAUACGUCCGUGAGGAGAAAGAUUUAUCGCCCUUAGACGGGCCCGCGUCGGAUCAGCUAGUUGGUGGGGUAACGGCCUACCAAGGCGACGAUCCGUAGCUGAUCUUAGAGGAUGAUCAGCCACACUGGGACUGAGACACGGCCCAGACUCCUACGGGAGGCAGCAGUGGGGAAUCUUGGACAAUGGGCGCAAGCCUGAUCCAGCCAUGCCGCGUGAGUGAAGAAGGUCUUCGGAUUGUAAAGCUCUUUUGCCAGGGACGAUAAUGACGGUACCUGGAGAAUAAGCCCCGGCAAACUUCGUGCCAGCAGCCGCGUAA